UUCAGAGCUUCCAAUGCCUUGGUCAUGCAACUCAGAAUUUGGAUGCCUGCAGAUAUAAUGAUACUGCAAAACAAUCAUCUUCAAAUUUUAAUUAUGUAAAGGAGCCAAAUAGAAAUUUAGUGGCAAGAGCAGGAUUACUUGGCUUUUCAGGCGUAGGGCAGUUUAGGCAUAGAUUUUACAGUACUGCAAUUUUGGGAUGGCCGUGUGCAAACAGAGUUUCUUUAUCCAAUGAGGUUGAUGUCACUUUCUGUUCGUGAUGCAUCAACUGCUACGGCUAAGCAACCUGACUUGGGGAGUGAUGAAGAAAAUGAAGAAAUAGUUGCUAGAAAGAGAAAGGAAGCAUCUCCUGAAGAAUGUGAUCAAGCUGUUGAAGGUUUGAGUUCAGCAAAAGCCAAAGUGAAAGCCAUACGUUUGCAUGAAUCUCAAAAGG
This 430-nucleotide unclassified non-coding RNA is filed under the name Hevea brasiliensis (rubber tree). Lineage: Eukaryota; Viridiplantae; Streptophyta; Magnoliopsida; Malpighiales; Euphorbiaceae. The record is from RNAcentral.